AGUUCUGCAUUUACUCAGAAGAAAAGAUUUUCCAGUCCAUAAACACAUCUUUCAAGAAUGCCAUGCAUGUAUGAGCAAUGAGUUAGUUAUUUCUUACCUGUCCCUUUGCCUGACUGCCCCAGCAGCUGCUCUGACAACUCUACUUUGUGUGUCAAGUUGACCUAAGACUAGCCAGCACACCCAGGAAUCUCCUGCUGGGAUAAGGAAAAGGCACUAACCAGAGGAGGGAGCUUGUCCCUGGGUAAGAGAUUUCACCGAGUUCUAACAACUUGUCAGAACUCCUAACAGAACACACUGGAAUGAGCAAAUGUCUCUAGCCUCUGGAGCUGUGUGAAUCAAUGUGACCAGUAUGGAAAGACCCAGGCUGUGUGUCCAUUACAGAGGGGCACAAUCCCUGCUCACCUCAGCCUCCUUGCCAGAGAAUGGAUGGGACUUUUAUCUGCCUCUCCCUUAUCUCCAGAG
Molecule: long non-coding RNA, 462 nt
Filed under: Cricetulus griseus (Chinese hamster)
Lineage: Eukaryota; Metazoa; Chordata; Mammalia; Rodentia; Cricetidae
Description: lncRNA (ENSCGRG00015035985.1)
Source: RNAcentral